UGGGGAAUAUUGCACAAUGGGCGAAAGCCUGAUGCAGCAACGCCGCGUGAGGGAUGACGGCCUUCGGGUUGUAAACCUCUUUUAGUAGGGAAGAAGCGAAAGUGACGGUACCUGCAGAAAAAGCACCGGCUAACUACGUGCCAGCAGCCGCGGUAAUACGUAGGGUGCAAGCGUUGUCCGGAAUUAUUGGGCGUAAAGAGCUCGUAGGCGGUUUGUCGCGUCUGCUGGGAAAUCCCGAGGCUCAACCUCGGGUCUGCAGUGGGUACGGGCAGACUAGAGUGUGGUAGGGGAGAUUGGAAUUCCUGGUGUAGCGGUGGAAUGCGCAGAUAUCAGGAGGAACACCGAUGGCGAAGGCAGAUCUCUGGGCCAUUACUGACGCUGAGGAGCGAAAGCAUGGGGAGCGAACA
RNAcentral lists this ribosomal RNA (407 nucleotides) under uncultured bacterium. RNAcentral describes it as "partial 16S ribosomal RNA". It matches the Rfam family "Bacterial small subunit ribosomal RNA", at positions 355 to 774 of the family's 1533-position model. The record is from RNAcentral.